This 501-nucleotide ribosomal RNA is filed under the name uncultured bacterium. RNAcentral describes it as "partial 16S ribosomal RNA". It matches the Rfam family "Bacterial small subunit ribosomal RNA", at positions 29 to 523 of the family's 1533-position model. The record is from RNAcentral.
AUUGAACGCUGGCGGCAUGCCUUACACAUGCAAGUCGAACGGCAGCACGGGUGCUUGCACCUGGUGGCGAGUGGCGAACGGGUGAGUAAUACAUCGGAACGUACCUUAUCGUGGGGGAUAACGCAGCGAAAGCUGUGCUAAUACCGCAUACGCCCUGAGGGGGAAAGCGGGGGAUCGAAAGACCUCGCGCGAUUAGAGCGGCCGAUGCCUGAUUAGCUUGUUGGUGGGGUAAAAGCCCACCAAGGCGACGAUCAGUAGCUGGUCUGAGAGGACGAUCAGCAACACUGGGACUGGGACACGCCCCAGACCCCUGCGGGAGGCAGCAGUGGGGAAUUGUGGAAAAGGGGGGCAACCCUGAUCCAGAAAUGCCGCGUGAGUGAAGAAGGCCUUCGGGUUGUAAAGCUUUUUUGUCAGGGAAGAACCCCCGGCUCUAACACAGUCCGGGAAUGACGGUACCUGAAGAAUAAGCACCGGCUAACUACGUGCCAGCCGCCGCCGUAA